Molecule: long non-coding RNA, 2378 nt
Organism: Mytilus californianus (California mussel)
Lineage: Eukaryota; Metazoa; Mollusca; Bivalvia; Mytilida; Mytilidae
Exons: 3
Source: RefSeq, a predicted model, not a curated record
UUCUGCUUUGUCAUGCUAAGAUGGUUUGAAUGAUAUACAGGGUUAGUCCCCAGGGGUCAUCCCGACCCCCUGCCAUUUGAGAAAGUUCUAAUAUCUUGUAAAUGGUCGAGAUCCCCACCCCUAAACCAUAUAUAUUCUGGUUUGUCAUGAUAAAGCACAUCAAAUGUAAUACAGGGUUAGUCCCCAGGGGUCACCCCCACCCCCUGCCAUUUAAGAAAGUUCUAAUAUCUUGUAAGUGGUCAAGAUCCCCACCCCUAAACCAUAUAUAUUCUGGUUUGUCAUGCUAAGAUGGUUUGAAUGAUAUACAGGGUUAGUCCCCAGGGGUCAUCCCGACCCCCUGCCAUUUGAGAAAGUUCUAAUAUCUUGUAAAUGGUUGAGAUCCCCACCCCUAAACCAUAUACAUUCUGGUUUGUCAUGAUAAAGCACAUCAAAUGAAAUACAGGGUUAGUCCCCAGGGGUCACCCCCACCCCCUGCCAUUUAAGAAAGUUCUAAUAUCUUGUAAGUGGUCAAGAUCCCCACCCCUAAACCAUAUAUAUUCUGGUUUGUCAUGCUAAGAUGGUUUGAAUGAUAUACAGGGUUAGUCCCCAGGGGUCAUCCCGACCCCCUGCCAUUUGAGAAAGUUCUAAUUUCUUGUAAAUGGUCGAGAUCCCCACCCCUAAACCAUAUAUAUUCUGGUUUGUCAUGAUAAAGCACAUCAAAUGUUAUACAGGGUUAGUCCCCAGGGGUCACCCCCACCCCCUGCCAUUUAAGAAAGUUCUAAUAUCUUGUUAUUGGUCAAGAUCCCCACCCCUAAACCAUAUAUAUUCUGGUUUGUCAUGCUAAGAUGGUUUGAAUGAUAUACAGGGUUUGUCCCCAGGGGUCAUCCCGACCCCCUGCCAUUUGAGAAAGUUUCUAAUAUCUUGUAAAUGGUCGAGAUCCCCACCCCUAAACCAUAUAUAUUCUGGUUUUUCAUGAUAAAGCACAUCAAAUGAAAUACAGGGUUAGUCCCCAGGGGUCACCCCCACCCCCUGCCAUUUAAGAAAGUUUUAAUAUCUUCUAAGUGGUCAAGAUCCCCACCCCUAAACCAUAUAUAUUCUGGUUUGUCAUGCUAAGAUGGUUUGAAUGAUAUACAGGGUUAGUCCCCAGGGGUCAUCCCGACCCCCUGCCAUUUGAGAAAGUUCUUAUAUCUUGUAAAUGGUUGAGAUCCCCACCCCUAAACCAUAUAUAUUCCUGUUCGUCAUGUAAUGAACAUUUGAAUGACGUAUAGGGCCAGUCCCCAGGGGUUCCUCCCCACCCCCAAUGUUCUAGUAUCUUGUAAAUGGUCGAGAUCCCCACCCCUAAACCAUAUAUAUUCUGGUUUGUCAUGCCAAGAUGAUUUGAAUGAUAUACAAGGUUAGUCCCCAGGCAUCACUAAUGCAUAUAACUUUACUGGACCAAACCAAUUUUCACUGGACGUUGCCCAAUGUCAGGCGACCCUGGGAAUUACGAAUUAUGGGAGCUUCGUUUGGGAGACUUCGUAACAGCAUCCUGUUACAAUCAUUUCUUGUUUCUUGAUCAAUUUCAAUGGGGUUUUAUUCUUCAAUUCUUGGGGUUCUUUAAUAUGCUGAAUCUAACCGUGUAUUAAGUUUUUGGAUUUUGGGCCCCGUUUUUAAAUUGGUCCACAUUAAGGUCCAAAGGGUCCAAAAUUAAACUUUGUUUGAUUUCAUCAAAAAUUGAAUUAUUGGGGUUCUUUGAUAUGCCGAAUCUAACCGUGUAUUUAGAUUCUUAAUUUUUGGUUCCGUUUUCAAAUUGGUCUACAUUAAGGUCCAAAGGGUCCAGAAUUAAACUUAGUUUGAUUUUAACAGAAAUUGAAUUCUUAGGGUUCUUUGAUAUGCUGAAUCUAAACAUGUAUUUAGAUUUUUGAUUAUGGGCCCAGUUUUCAAGUUGGUCUGAAUCGGGUCCAAAAUUAAACUUUGUUUGAUUUCAACAAAAAUUGAAUAUAUGGGGUUCUUUGAUAUGCUGAAUCUAACCAUGUAUUUAGAUUUUUGAUUUUUGGGCCCCUUUAUCAACUUUGUCCACAUUGAGGUCAAAAGGGUCCAAAAUUAAACUUUGUUUGAUUUCAUCAAAAAUUGAAUUCUCGGGGUUCUUUGAUAUGCUGAAUCUAACCAUGUAUUUAGAUUUUGGAUAUUGGACCAUAAUAGGUGAAUGUCCAAUUUAAAAUUUUUAAGUUCUUAGACCACAUUCAUUCUGUGUCAGAAACCUAUGCUGUGUCAAAUAUUUAAUCACAAUCCAAAUGCAAAUCUGUAUCAAGCUUGAAUGUUGUGUCCAUACUUGCCCCAACUGUUCAGGGUUCGACCUCUGCGGUCGUAUCAAGCUGCGCCCUGCGGAGCAUUUUAUUUAGAUUCGUUUUCAAAUUGGU